GUAGGUGACAGUCAGGGGCGG
RNAcentral lists this microRNA (21 nucleotides) under Homo sapiens (human). Its description in RNAcentral is "hsa-miR-6800-5p". The record is from miRBase by way of RNAcentral. Lineage: Eukaryota; Metazoa; Chordata; Mammalia; Primates; Hominidae.